AUUUUAAAGGAAGUUUUCGGAUGGAAUUUGAAAUGACUGAGCGGCGGACGGGUGAGUAACGCGUGGGUAACCUGCCUCAUACAGGGGGAUAACAGUUAGAAAUGACUGCUAAUACCGCAUAAGCGCACAAUACCGCAUGGUACAGUGUGAAAAACUCCGGUGGUAUGAGAUGGACCCGCGUCUGAUUAGCUAGUUGGUGGGGUAACGGCCUACCAAGGCGACGAUCAGUAGCCGACCUGAGAGGGUGACCGGCCACAUUGGAACUGAGACACGGUCCAAACUCC
This 284-nucleotide ribosomal RNA is filed under the name uncultured Lachnospiraceae bacterium. Its description in RNAcentral is "partial 16S ribosomal RNA". The stretch from base 46 to 284 matches the Rfam family "Bacterial small subunit ribosomal RNA", at positions 100 to 339 of the family's 1533-position model. The record is from RNAcentral. Lineage: Bacteria; Bacillati; Bacillota; Clostridia; Lachnospirales; Lachnospiraceae.